Molecule: ribosomal RNA, 2146 nt
Filed under: Mesonychoteuthis hamiltoni (colossal squid)
Lineage: Eukaryota; Metazoa; Mollusca; Cephalopoda; Oegopsida; Cranchiidae
Description: partial 18S ribosomal RNA
Rfam family: Eukaryotic small subunit ribosomal RNA
Source: RNAcentral
CUUAAGCCAUGCAAGUGUAAGUUCACGCCACGCAUUAGAACGGGCGAAACCGCGAAUGGCUCAGGAACCGGACCUAAUCCUCGGGACCGUAAUCCUCCUCGGAGGCGAUGGAUAACUGUGGCAAUUCUAGAGYUAAUACAUGUGACACAGGCCGCGAUCGGUCGUCGCGCCGUGGUCGCCUCGCCUCGCAAGAGCGCGCUGGCACCCGCGACGGCCGUCUUGGGUCGCGGCGCUACAUAUUAGACUGAGACCGAUGCGCGAUUCCCGUCCUCCCUUCGGGUUGCUUUGUUGGGUCUCACGGCUCGGCUUUGUGGUUCGUCGGGGCUAAAGGUCGGCGCGCUCCGCUUUGGUGACUCUGGAUAACUCACUGGUCGAUCGCACGGGCUUCCACGCCCGGCGACGGGUCCCUCGAGGGUCCGCCCUAUCAACUGUCGACGGUCGGUUAAGUGCCUACCGUGGUUACUACGGGUAACGGGGAAUCGGGGUUCGAUUCCGGAGAGGGAGCAUGCGAAACGGCUACCACAUCCAAGGAAGGCAGCAGGCGCGCAAAUUACCCACUCCCGGCACGGGGAGGUAGUGACGAAAAAUAACGACGCGGGACUCUGUCGAGGCCCCGCGAUCGGAAUGAGUACACUUCAAAUCCGUUAACGAGGACCAACCGGAGGGCAAGUCUGGUGCCAGCAGCCGCGGUAAUUCCAGCUCCGGUAGCGUAUAUUAAAGUUGUUGCGGUUAAAAAGCUCGUAGUCCGAACUCGGGUUCGUGGUCGCUCACGCGGCCCCGGGGCGGCGGCGCCAUCGUCCAUCGUUGACUUUGGUCGUCCGUUCGCAUUCCCGGCCCUUUCCGCCGGUGUCAAUCGCUACAUAGACGGCCGCGGGUCGGCUGGUGGUAGGCGUGACUCUUGGGUUCGGUGUUGGGGGCCUUUYUGGGGUUUUUGSCCGGACAAAMGGGGSGGGCYCMCCCCCAAACUGCCAAAUYUGGUUUUUUUCCUCGNUNGGGUUUUCGGUGCCGCUCUCGGGAUCCGGGCUUUCGGGUCCCCUAUUGCUAAGUCCCUCGUGUUUGCCGUCGGUGAUUUCUCCUCCAAGGGUGCUCUUAACCGAGUGUCCGCGGCGGCCGGUACGUUCACUUUGAAAAAAUUAGAGUGCUCAGAGCGGGCUGUUCAAGCUUGCAUACGAUAAGCAUGGAAUGAUGGAAGAGGGCCUCGUCUACGUCUGUCGGUCUCCGUCUACGGCGAGGCAAUGAUCGAAGGGAGCGGUCGGGGCCACUCGUAUUGCGACGUUAGAGGUGAAAUUCUUGGAUCGUCGCAAGACGAACUGCAGCGAUGGCGUGUGGCAAGCACGUUUUCCUCGAUCAAGAGCGAAAGUCGGAGGUUCGAAGACGAUCAGAUACCGUCGUAGUUCCGACCGUAAACGAUGCCGACCGGCGAUCCGCCGGCGUUCGCUUCCAUGACCCGGCGGGUAGCCUGCGGGAAACCAGAGUUCGGUUCCGGGGGGAGUAUGGUUGCAAAGCUGAAACUUAAAGGAAUUGACGGAAGGGCACCACCAGGAGUGGAGCCUGCGGCUUAAUUUGACUCAACACGGGAAAACUCACCCGGUCCGGACACCGGUAGGAUUGACAGAUCGAUAGCUCUUUCUCGAUUCGGUGGGUGGUGGUGCAUGGCCGUUCUUAGUUGGUGGAGCGAUCCGUCUGGUUGAUUCCGAUAACGAACGAGACUCCGGCCUGCUAACUAGUGCGCCGAUGUCAGUGCGGCGUCGCAUCCCGGCGUCCKGKGGCGGGYUUUGGGUUGGGAAUUUUUGAUNGUUUUUCGGGGGUCCGGGUCGGUUUNUNNCNCNCUUUUUARAGGGGGGGGGGGGAAAAAGCCMCMCRAGGGGGAGCGAWAACGGGUUUGKGAUGCCCUUAAAUGUCCGGGGCCCCNCCCCCCCYNCNCUGGGGGUWUNNNCGGGGACUUCCCCCCGGCCCGARAGGGUCGGGAAACCUCUNAVCCCCCYCCCGNGANAGGGAUCGGGGCCUGUAACCMACCCCGUGAAMRAARAAUUCCCGGUGGGCGCGGGUCAAAACCCCGGGUCAAACACUUUCCUGCCCUUUUGACACCCCCCCCGUCCCUUAUACCAAUAAAACGGUCCGGGGAGGCUCUCGGAUUUGGCCCAAC